GCCACUAUAGUAUAAUGACAGUAUAAGUCGCUGGUAAUGACUUGGUUUAGGUUAAAUUCCUAAUAGUGGCUCCA
RNAcentral lists this transfer RNA (74 nucleotides) under bioreactor metagenome. RNAcentral's name for it is "tRNA-Thr". It matches the Rfam family "tRNA". Rfam says of the family: Transfer RNA (tRNA) molecules are approximately 80 nucleotides in length. Their secondary structure includes four short double-helical elements and three loops (D, anti-codon, and T loops). The record is from RNAcentral.